This 101-nucleotide ribosomal RNA is filed under the name Periophthalmus magnuspinnatus. Lineage: Eukaryota; Metazoa; Chordata; Actinopteri; Gobiiformes; Gobiidae. The record is from RNAcentral.
AAAUGUAGCCAUACUGGCUUGUCAAAGUCAGAUCUCAGAAGCUAAGCAAGGCCAAGCCUGGUUAGUACUUGGAUUGCUGGGAAUAUCAGGUGCCACAGUGG